AAUCGAUUAGUUUGUCUGAAAUUUUUACCUCUUGUAGUUUGUACCUACUAAGAAUGAAAAGUUCACCAAAUUUGAAUCUUCUCGGACUUAGCAUUCGCGAGAAAUGCCACAUCAAAUUUAUCAUUUCGACCUAAUUCUGGCUUAAACGCGAAUUGUUUU
Molecule: long non-coding RNA, 159 nt
Organism: Diprion similis
Lineage: Eukaryota; Metazoa; Arthropoda; Insecta; Hymenoptera; Diprionidae
Exons: 3
Source: RefSeq, a predicted model, not a curated record